This 1365-nucleotide ribosomal RNA is filed under the name Paraurostyla viridis. RNAcentral's name for it is "eukaryotic LSU rRNA". It matches the Rfam family "Eukaryotic large subunit ribosomal RNA", at positions 1 to 1356 of the family's 3401-position model. The record is from RNAcentral. Lineage: Eukaryota; Ciliophora; Spirotrichea; Stichotrichida; Amphisiellidae.
UGCAUCUGAAAUCAAGCAGGAUCACCCGCUGAACUUAAGCAUAUCAUUAAGCGGAGGAGAAGAAAUUAACUAAGAUUGCCUCAGUAACGGCGAGUGAAGCGGCAAGAGCCCAAACUGGAAAUCUCGUACCUACGGUGCGCGAAUUGUAAUCUAAAGAGUGCUUACUCACCGGGGAGUGGCGCAGAAGUUCCCUCGAACGGGACGCCAGAGAGGGUGACAGCCCCGUAUGUGGUGCCAUUCCCUAACGAGUGGGUGUUCAAAGAGUCGGGUUGUUUUGUACUACAGCCCUAAGUCGGAGAUAAACUUCUUCUAAGGCUAAAUAUAUAUGGGAAACCGAUAGCGAACAAGUACUGUGAAGGAAAGAUGAAAAGAACUUUGAAAAGAGAGUCAAAAGACUUGAAAUCGUUAAGAAGGAAGCGGUAGAAAUUUAUCCUUCUGCGGAGGUCGGUGGUCCUUGCCAAACCAUUGCUCGUGGGUAGUACUGAAUAAGGCUACCUUAGGUACUUGGGGAAGCGGAGCCUUGACCUCUGUAGUGCGGCAAAAUGAGGUCGUGUUUCCACAAAAGCUUCUUACAACCGGGUCCCUUCGGGGAUCAGUGUGGGUGUGCUGGUGGCAACACGGCCUGAGGAUGCAUUUGCGAUUUUGCCAAAAUGGUUUUUACCGACCCGUCUUGAAACACGGACCAAGGAGUCUAACAUAUAUGCGAGUGUGCUGGUGGAAAAACCAACACGCGUAAUGAAAGUAAGUGAUGCCAAGCUCCCUGCAGCAUCAACCAACCAUGAUCCUCCGGUGAAAGGUUUGAGUAUGAGCAUAUCUGUUAGGACCCGAAAGAUGGUGAACUAUGCCUGAGUAGGGUGAAGCCAGGGGAAACUCUGGUGGAGGCUCGUAGCGGUUCUGACGUGCAAAUCGAUCGUCAAACUUGGGUAUAGGGGCGAAAGACUAAUCGAACCAUCUAGUAGCUGGUUCCCUCCGAAGUUUCCCUCAGGAUAGCUGGGACAAUAACGCAGUUUUAUUAGGUAAAGCGAAUGAUUAGAGGUCUCGGGGGUAAUUUGCCCUCGACCUAUUCUCAAACUUUAAAUUGGUAAGAACCCUGGCCUUUCUUAAGUGAGGCACGGGGGAUCAAUGCGUGUCCUUAGUGGGCCAUUUUUGGUAAGCAGAACUGGCGAUGAGGGUUGCUCCUAACGUUGAGUUAAGGUGCCCAACUGCACGCUCAUCAGAUACUACAAAGGGUGUUGGUUCAUACAGACAGCAGGACGGUGGCCAUGGAAGUCGGAACCCGCUAAGGAGUGUGUAACAACUCACCUGCCGAAUGGACUAGCCCCGAAAAUGGAUGGCGCUCAGGCGUGCGACCGAUACUCGACCAUU